AGGACGAACGCUGGCGGCGUGCUUAACACAUGCAAGUCGAACGAGGCGCUUGCGCCUAGUGGCGAACGGGUGAGUAACACGUGAGCAACCUGCCCUUGGCUCUGGGAUAGCCUCCGGAAACGGGGAUUAAUACCGGACAUGACCUUCUCCUGCAUGGGGGAGGGUGGAAAGUUUUUCGGCCAGGGAGGGGCUCGCGGCCUAUCAGCUUGUUGGGGGGGUAACGGCCCACCAAGGCGACGACGGGUAGCCGGCCUGAGAGGGCGACCGGCCACACUGGGACUGAGACACGGCCCAGACUCCUACGGGAGGCAGCAGUGGGGAAUAUUGCACAAUGGGGGAAACCCUGAUGCAGCGACGCCGCGUGCGGGAUGAAGGCCUUCGGGUUGUAAACCGCUUUCAGCAGGGGCGAAUUCAGACGGUACCUGCAGAAGAAGCGCCGGCUAACUACGCGCCAGCAGCCGC
Molecule: ribosomal RNA, 462 nt
Filed under: uncultured bacterium
Lineage: Bacteria
Description: SSU rRNA
Rfam family: Bacterial small subunit ribosomal RNA
Source: RNAcentral